AACCUCCGCAAUGUGAGAAAUCGCGACGGGGGGAUCCCAAGUGCCAUUCUUAACGGGAUGGCUUUUCAUUAGUGUAAAGAGCUUUUGGAAUAAGGGCUGGGCAAGACCGGUGCCAGCCGCCGCGGUAACACCGGCAGCUCUAGUGGUAGCAGUUUUUAUUGGGCCUAAAGCGUCCGUAGCCGGUUUAAUAAGUCUCUGGUGAAAUCCUGUAGCUUAACUGUGGGAAUUGCUGGAGAUACUAUUAGACUUGAGACCGGGAGAGGUUAGAGGUACUCCCAGGGUAGAGGUGAAAUUCUGUAAUCCUGGGAGGACCGCCUGUUGCGAAGGCGUCUAACUGGAACGGUUCUGACGGUGAGGGACGAAAGUUAGGGGCGCGAACCGGAUUAGAUACCCGGGUAGUCCUAACCGUAAACGAUGCGGACUUGGUGUUGGGGUGGCUUUGAGCUGCUCCAGUGCCGAAGGGAAGCUGUUAAGUCCGCCGCCUGGGAAGUACGGUCGCAAGACUGAAACUUAAAGGAAAU
This 521-nucleotide ribosomal RNA is filed under the name uncultured bacterium. RNAcentral describes it as "bacterial SSU rRNA". It matches the Rfam family "Archaeal small subunit ribosomal RNA", at positions 345 to 866 of the family's 1478-position model. The record is from RNAcentral.